AGAGUUUGAUCAUGGCUCAGAUUGAACGCUGGCGGCAGGCCUAACACAUGCAAGUCGAGCGGUAGCACAGAGAGCUUGCUCUCGGGUGACGAGCGGCGGACGGGUGAGUAAUGUCUGGGAAGCUGCCUGAUGGAGGGGAUAACUACUGGAAACGGUAGCUAAUACCGCAUAACGUCGCAAGACCAAAGUGGGGGACCUUCGGGCCUCAUGCCAUCAGAUGUGCCCAGAUGGGAUUAGCUAGUAGGUGGGGUAAUGGCUCACCUAGGCGACGAUCCCUAGCUGGUCUGAGAGGAUGACCAGCCACACUGGAACUGAGACACGGUCCAGACUCCUACGGGAGGCAGCAGUGGGGAAUAUUGCACAAUGGGCGCAAGCCUGAUGCAGCCAUGCCGCGUGUAUGAAGAAGGCCUUCGGGUUGUAAAGUACUUUCAGCGAGGAGGAAGGCAUUAAGGUUAAUAACCUUGGUGAUUGACGUUACUCGCAGAAGAAGCACCGGCUAACUCCGUGCCAGCAGCCGCGGUAAUACGGAGGGUGCAAGCGUUAAUCGGAAUUACUGGGCGUAAAGCGCACGCAGGCGGUCUGUCAAGUCGGAUGUGAAAUCCCCGGGCUCAACCUGGGAACUGCAUUCGAAACUGGCAGGCUAGAGUCUUGUAGAGGGGGGUAGAAUUCCAGGUGUAGCGGUGAAAUGCGUAGAGAUCUGGAGGAAUACCGGUGGCGAAGGCGGCCCCCUGGACAAAGACUGACGCUCAGGUGCGAAAGCGUGGGGAGCAAACAGGAUUAGAUACCCUGGUAGUCCACGCCGUAAACGAUGUCGACUUGGAGGUUGUGCCCUUGAGGCGUGGCUUCCGGAGCUAACGCGUUAAGUCGACCGCCUGGGGAGUACGGCCGCAAGGUUAAAACUCAAAUGAAUUGACGGGGGCCCGCACAAGCGGUGGAGCAUGUGGUUUAAUUCGAUGCAACGCGAAGAACCUUACCUACUCUUGACAUCCAGAGAACUUAGCAGAGAUGCUUUGGUGCCUUCGGGAACUCUGAGACAGGUGCUGCAUGGCUGUCGUCAGCUCGUGUUGUGAAAUGUUGGGUUAAGUCCCGCAACGAGCGCAACCCUUAUCCUUUGUUGCCAGCGGUUAGGCCGGGAACUCAAAGGAGACUGCCAGUGAUAAACUGGAGGAAGGUGGGGAUGACGUCAAGUCAUCAUGGCCCUUACGAGUAGGGCUACACACGUGCUACAAUGGCAUAUACAAAGAGAAGCGACCUCGCGAGAGCAAGCGGACCUCAUAAAGUAUGUCGUAGUCCGGAUUGGAGUCUGCAACUCGACUCCAUGAAGUCGGAAUCGCUAGUAAUCGUAGAUCAGAAUGCUACGGUGAAUACGUUCCCGGGCCUUGUACACACCGCCCGUCACACCAUGGGAGUGGGUUGCAAAAGAAGUAGGUAGCUUAACCUUCGGGAGGGCGCUUACCACUUUGUGAUUCAUGACUGGGGUGAAGUCGUAACAAGGUAACCGUAGGGGAACCUGCGGUUG
Molecule: ribosomal RNA, 1519 nt
Filed under: Klebsiella aerogenes
Lineage: Bacteria; Pseudomonadati; Pseudomonadota; Gammaproteobacteria; Enterobacterales; Enterobacteriaceae
Also listed under: 1 other name
Description: bacterial SSU rRNA
Rfam family: Bacterial small subunit ribosomal RNA
Source: RNAcentral